AGGGCUUUGGCCCCGGUACAGUGGCGCACGGGUGAGUAACACGUGGGUAACGUUUCCUCAGGCGGGGGAUAACCUUCCGAAAGGAGGGCUAAUACCGCAUAGGACCACGACCUCGCGAGGGGUUGAGGUGAAAGCAGGCCUCUACAUGUAAGCUUGCACCGGAGGAUCGGCCCGCGGCCCAUCAGCUAGUUGGCAGGGUAACAGCCUACCAAGGCUAAGACGGGUAGCUGGUCUGAGAGGAUGAUCAGCCACACUGGAACUGAGACACGGUCCAGACUCCUACGGGAGGCAGCAGUGGGGAAUCUUGCGCAAUGGACGAAAGUCUGACGCAGCGACGCCGCGUGGGUGAUGAAGGCCUUCGGG
Molecule: ribosomal RNA, 363 nt
Filed under: uncultured bacterium
Lineage: Bacteria
Description: bacterial SSU rRNA
Rfam family: Bacterial small subunit ribosomal RNA
Source: RNAcentral